GCGAAUAUAGCUCAAUUGGUAGAGCAGUGUCCUUCCAAGUCAAGGGUUGCGGGUUCGAGCCCUGUUAUUCGCU
Molecule: transfer RNA, 73 nt
Filed under: Jenufa perforata
Lineage: Eukaryota; Viridiplantae; Chlorophyta; Chlorophyceae
Description: tRNA-Gly
Rfam family: tRNA
About the family: Transfer RNA (tRNA) molecules are approximately 80 nucleotides in length. Their secondary structure includes four short double-helical elements and three loops (D, anti-codon, and T loops).
Source: RNAcentral